GACGAACGCUGGCGGCAUGCCUAAUACAUGCAAGUCGAGCGAACAGAUGAAGUGCUUGCACUUCUGACGUUAGCGGCGAACGGGUGAGUAACACGUAAGGAAUCUACCUAUAAGCGGGGGAUAACAUUCGGAAACGGGUGCUAAUACCGCAUAAUAUCUUCUUCCGCAUGGAAGAAGAUUGAAAGACGGCUCUGCUGUCACUUAUAGAUGACCUUGUGGUGCAUUAGUUAGUUGGUGGGGUAACGGCCUACCAAGACGAUGAUGCAUAGCCGACCUGAGAGGGUGAUCGGCCACAUUGGGACUGAGACACGGCCCAAACUCCUACGGGAGGCAGCAGUAGGGAAUCUUCCGCAAUGGGCGAAAGCCUGACGGAGCAAUGCCGCGUGAGUGAAGAAGGCCUUCGGGUCGUAAAACUCUGUUAUAAGAGAAGAACAAAUUGUAGAGUAACUGCUACAGUCUUGACAGUAUCUUAUCAGAAAGCCACGGCUAACUACGUGCCAGCCGCCGCGGUAA
RNAcentral lists this ribosomal RNA (513 nucleotides) under uncultured bacterium. RNAcentral describes it as "partial 16S ribosomal RNA". It matches the Rfam family "Bacterial small subunit ribosomal RNA", at positions 28 to 523 of the family's 1533-position model. The record is from RNAcentral.